This 579-nucleotide ribosomal RNA is filed under the name uncultured bacterium. RNAcentral's name for it is "partial 16S ribosomal RNA". It matches the Rfam family "Bacterial small subunit ribosomal RNA", at positions 355 to 932 of the family's 1533-position model. The record is from RNAcentral.
UGAGGAAUUUUGGACAAUGGGCGAAAGCCUGAUCCAGCAAUGCCGCGUGUGUGAAGAAGGCCUUCGGGUUGUAAAGCACUUUUGUCCGGAAAGAAAUCCUUGGCUCUAAUACAGUCGGGGGAUGACGGUACCGGAAGAAUAAGCACCGGCUAACUACGUGCCAGCAGCCGCGGUAAUACGUAGGGUGCAAGCGUUAAUCGGAAUUACUGGGCGUAAAGCGUGCGCAGGCGGUUUGCUAAAACCGAUGUGAAAUCCCCGGGCUCAACCUGGGAACUGCAUUGGUGACUGGCAGGCUAGAGUAUGGCAGAGGGGGGUAGAAUUCCACGUGUAGCAGUGAAAUGCGUAGAGAUGUGGAGGAAUACCGAUGGCGAAGGCAGCCCCCUGGGCCAAUACUGACGCUCAUGCACGAAAGCGUGGGGAGCAAACAGGAUUAGAUACCCUGGUAGUCCACGCCCUAAACGAUGUCAACUAGUUGUUGGGGAUUCAUUUCCUUAGUAACGUAGCUAACGCGUGAAGUUGACCGCCUGGGGAGUACGGUCGCAAGAUUAAAACUCAAAUGAAUUGACGGGGUCAUAGCUG